CUCUACAGACAGUCACUGUGUGUCCCUAGUCCCUCCUCCUCUACAGACAGUCACUGUGGGUUCCUAGUCCCUCGUUCCUCUACAGACAGUCACUGUGUGUCCCUAUUCCUCGUUCCUCUGCAUUCCUCUGCAUACUGUGUAGUUCACCAGGACUUCUCCUGAAAGGUCUGGGUCUGCUGUUUCACACACACUGGGUGUGUUCCAGGUGGUCUGUUUUGCAGUCAUGCUGCACAUCUCAGAAGAUUUCAAUAUGUAAUAUUUAUGAGCUGCCUGAGAUGUUAAAAAAACCUCUCCAGGAACGCACCCACACCUAAUACUGUAAACAUGUCUGUGUGUUUUCUGCAGUUUCCUUCCUCAAUGCUAAUACUGUAAACAUGUCUGUGUGUUUUCUGCAGUUUCCUUCCUCAAUGCUAAUACUGUAAACAUGUCUGUCUGUUUUCUACAGUUUCCUUCCUCAAUGCUAAUACUGUAAACAUGUACUGUGUGUUUUCUGCAGUUUCCUUCCAGCCCUACCACAGUGAGGCACGUUGUUAGCUCAACACAACAAUGUAAAUAUUGUGUAACGUAAAAGUGUCAGGGAUUCACGGUAAACAUUCCUCUGACGCAUUGUGAUGCAUGCUAUACAUACGUACUGUAACUAGGGUGUAUUUUUGGUGUACUUUUCUGUUUUGUUAUAUAAUAUGAAAUGUAUGAGGAUAACAAUAAUAGCUUAUUAAAUAUAAUUCUGAGGAACAAAAGUGACAA
Oncorhynchus tshawytscha (Chinook salmon) is the source of this 744-nucleotide long non-coding RNA. The record is from Ensembl. NCBI's taxonomy places the organism in Eukaryota, Metazoa, Chordata, Actinopteri, Salmoniformes, Salmonidae.